Molecule: ribosomal RNA, 390 nt
Filed under: Triticum aestivum (bread wheat)
Lineage: Eukaryota; Viridiplantae; Streptophyta; Magnoliopsida; Poales; Poaceae
Description: partial small subunit ribosomal RNA
Source: RNAcentral
AUGGACAAGAUUGGGAACUUAGCUUACAAAAUAGCGUUGCUCGAAGACAGCCGCAUCCAUCCAGUUUUCCACGUAUCUCAACUGACACCCUUCACUCUGAAUUACUCUCCGGUCUUCUCUACACUUCCCAGCACAGCUAACCUGACGAUAGUUGAAGCAACUCCAACAGCUAUCCUAGACAGACGGAUGAUGAAGCGCGGCAACGCUCAUGUGGUGCAGCUGCAGGUACAGUGGGACAAACCAGCUUCAGCAAUAACCUGGGAAGACUAUGAUGUGCUACGUCGACGCUUUCCGAUAGCAGCUAUCUGGGAUCAAGAUGGCCCGAGCGAGGACGCUCGUUCUGAAGAUGGGGAGAGUGUCACACUAGCUACACAGGACCAAGCUGUCUGA